CUUUUCUUUUCUCUCUUUUUUCUUUUUUCUUUUUCUUUCUUUCUUUUCUUUUCUUUUCUUUUUUUUUUUUGCUCAUAGCCUUCACCUAGAAAACUAAUCAAUACCUGGAGAGCACAACUCACAAUGUUUAACUCCAGAAAAUUCUUAAUCCAAAUCCUGCCUUGAACAAUUGCCACCUGCUGUAUGGACAAAUAGAUGUUAUUGAAAUGAGAAGGAAAACAGAUCAGAACUUUUGGAAAUUCAAGAGAAACCUUUCCAGUGAACAGUAAUCUCCAGAAUAUGCUGCCAUGACAAGAAUGUGAAUUGGAUUUGUUAGGCAGAGUUGCAUCGAGUCAUCAGAAUUGCUCUUUCCUCCAGUCCAUUGGCAAGGCAAAAAUCAAGACAACUGUUGAUGGCCCAGGAUGCAGUGGCUUACUUUGGCAUAUUUGAUGUCUCACAAGCUCUAAGCACUUCAAGGCACCUGCUUUAUUCACCUUCAUGGCCACUGGAACAGAUUGUUCUCAUCUACCCAUUCUAUUGGAAGAAGUCUUCACAUGCUUAGUGCAUGCUGCUUUAUCCUUAUCCCUGUAUUACAGAGAAGGACACCAGGACUCUAAGGAGCUGAGUAAUGUGGGCCUAGCCUCAAAGCUGAUUUCACUGAGGAUAUUGUUUUGAGUUUGAGGGAUGUACAUGAAUGGGACAACAUCACCUGCAAGGCAAUCAAUUUGAGAAGAUAUACAGGCUGGAAAUGUAAGUAGGUUUAUAGAGGAUUAGAAAAAUUCCCAGAUGACUGAUCCAAAGUAUUUUGG
RNAcentral lists this long non-coding RNA (788 nucleotides) under Monodelphis domestica (gray short-tailed opossum). RNAcentral's name for it is "lncRNA (ENSMODG00000032457.2)". The record is from RNAcentral. Lineage: Eukaryota; Metazoa; Chordata; Mammalia; Didelphimorphia; Didelphidae.